Chiroxiphia lanceolata (lance-tailed manakin) is the source of this 1479-nucleotide long non-coding RNA. RefSeq lists it as uncharacterized. NCBI's taxonomy places the organism in Eukaryota, Metazoa, Chordata, Aves, Passeriformes, Pipridae. The transcript is spliced from 3 exons. The record is from RefSeq and is a predicted model, not a curated record.
CUAUUCAGUGAAGAAUUAUUCCUACAGAAUGAGUUCCGAGCUAGUUAUAAAAUGUGAUACUUGUGGGUCAAAUGAAUUUGCAUUAUUUACAUGUAGUAAAGGAGGUCUUCGUGACUGACAACAGAUCAGUUUAUCCACCUGGGUAUGGAAAGACUGUGUUCAACGCUUGAACAGCAGCACGACAGGAACUUCCUUUGCACACCACUUCAGGCUUUGUGUUACAAUGAGCCCUUCUGAAAAAGUUGUGACUGGUAAGGUUUUUCUUUAGGAGGAAAAUAGGUUAUUGGCUAGUCCUACAAUUCUUAACAGUUGAGUUCCUCACUUAAAGGAGCAACUUUAAAGCUGUUGUGUGGCCUCCUAAUCCUGGGAUUAGUGGGAAUUUGCACCAGGUUCAGCUCACUGCUAUGACCUUUGGGUAGUGAAGUGGGGCAGUGGUUUGUUUUCUCCUUCUAGCCUGACCUUGUUAUUUGAAGUAGUCUUUCUGAUGAACUUCUGGUUGUUUUGGAGAGCAGUAUUAAACUCUGUGUAAUUACUUUCAUAAGUGAGGUAGUGCUCAGACCCAAUUAUAAUGCAGCACAAGCCCUAUCAGUAACAAAUUGAUGAAGAUGCUGAAAAUAACCAAUGAUUCCUGAGUAAUAUAAGAUUUUGAGGAUCUCUAGGAAGAAAAUGGGGAGAAAUACUGCCAUUUUUGGAGACUUGGGCUGUGUUAGAGUUGGGGAAGUUACUGAAUUGUGGGCUCCAGCAUCCCAGAAGUGCAGCUGAAGGUGCUCCUGUCACAGAAGGUGUUUGUGCUCCUUGUAAGCUUAGAAACUAAGCAAAUCUUAGCUACUAUAUUUGUGUGCUUAUUAAGUGUUGCACAAAAGAGGUCCCUUAUCUCUGCUGAAAAUUCUUGUUGUGACUGCUCUGUCUGCAAGCUUGUUAAUAUUGCAUGGUCAUGCAGUGGAUAUUACUCAAAAGUAGAAAUGCAACUUGAUUGCAGCAGUAUAUUGUGUCUCUUCAAAGGUUUAGCUUUUGAGGAGUGCUGUAGUCCUACUCAGUGUGGUCUGUUAGGGCUCAGAGAGUUUCAGAAGUACUCAACAGGAUGAGAGAGCUGGGGUUUUUGAACAUGGAGAAGAAAAGGCUUUUGGGGAGACCUCAUUGCAGCCUUCCUGUAUUUAAAGGAGGCUUAGGAAAAAUAGAGUGACUUUUUGCAUGGGCAGAUAGUGAUAGGACAAGGGGAAAUGCAUUUAAACUAAAAGAUGAUAUACUUAGAUUGGGUGUUAGGAAGAGAUUCUUAGAGGGUUGUGAGGCACUGGAAUAGGUUGUCUGAAGAAGUUGUGGAUACCCCAUCCCUGAAGGUGCUUAAGGGUAGAUUGGAUGGGGCCCUGAACAAGGUGGUCUAGUGGAAGAUGUCCCUGCCCAUGGCAGUGGCGUAGGAACUAUAUGAUCUUGAAGUUCCCUUCCAACCCAAACCAUUCUAUGAUUAACUUGCAGUUAAUG